GUGCCGUAGCACAUAUACUAAAAUUGGAAUGAUACAGAGAAGAUGAGCAUGGCCCCUGCACAGGGAUGACAUGCAAAUUCAUGAAGACGUAGGUAUUUUU
Small nuclear RNA from Loxodonta africana (African savanna elephant), 100 nucleotides. The record is from Ensembl. NCBI's taxonomy places the organism in Eukaryota, Metazoa, Chordata, Mammalia, Proboscidea, Elephantidae.